RNAcentral lists this ribosomal RNA (380 nucleotides) under uncultured archaeon. RNAcentral's name for it is "bacterial SSU rRNA". It matches the Rfam family "Archaeal small subunit ribosomal RNA", at positions 471 to 851 of the family's 1478-position model. The record is from RNAcentral.
UAAUACCCGCAGCCCGAGUGGUGGUCGAUAUUAUUGAGCUUAAAGCGUCCGUAGCCUGUCUGGUAAAUUCUUGGGUAAAUCGUGCAGCUUAACUGUUCGAAUUCCGGGGAGACUGCCAGACUUGGGACCGGGAGAGGUUGGAGGUACUCCUGGGGUAGGGGUAAAAUCCCGUAAUCCUGGGAGGACCACCAGUGGCGAAGGCGUCCAACUGGAACGGAUCCGACGGUCAGGGACGAAGCCCUGGGUCGCGAACUGGAUUAGAUACCCAGGUAGUCCAGGGUGUAAACGCUGCAGACUUGGUGUCGGAGGUCCUACGAGGGCGUUCGGUGCCGGAGAGAAAUUGUUAAGUCUGCCGCUUGGGGAGUACGUCCGCAAGGAUG